Molecule: long non-coding RNA, 2711 nt
Organism: Patella vulgata (common limpet)
Lineage: Eukaryota; Metazoa; Mollusca; Gastropoda; Patellidae
Exons: 4
Source: RefSeq, a predicted model, not a curated record
GAUAUUUGGCGCAGUCUUAGGAUAAACCAACGAUAACCUAAUCUAUAUUUAUAUUUAUAACGUGAAUGUCCUGUGGUAUUUUAUUGAUAAAAGAUCUGAUUACCUGUCAGUGUCAUGUGAAAGAAAGAUGAAGGAAACUGUUGUACAAGUAUCGUGUGGUGGUCCAGAAUAUGGAACCGAAGAAGCUGUCGAAUAUCAGAAACGCGCUUUUCGGUUCAUGAAAAGAAUAGGCGUUUUCCAGUUAUCUGUAGGAUUUAUUGCCCUUGUUUCAGCACUAGGGGCGCUUGUUUGUGGGUUUAUGGUUGAAACGAUUAAUUAUCCAGUAAUUGACAUAUUUCCGCUACUAACCAGUGUAUUGGCUAUUCUUGCUGGAUAUUUUGCUCUGAAAACCUCACGAUGUACACCACAGUUACAAGUGGAUGUACCAACAAAACGUUAUGUUAUUAUUCAUUACGUUAUCGAUGUAACCAAUGUCUCGUUUGCUUCUUGCGGAGCGGCUUUUGCUGGCUGGGCUAUUGGUGUUUGUAAAUCUACUGAUGUAAAAACGAUUUCCUUUUGUAAUCCAAACCAUGAUAUUAUAUUAAUAUUUGCUAUUAUCAACUGUGUUGCUGGCGCUAUUAUCGCUAUUACUUGUAUCCCAGGAAUGAUAUUUUUCUGUUUAUAUGCUCGGGUAUUUGGAUUUACCAACAGAGAGGAUCGGGUUAGAGAUCUAGAAAAUAGAAUUACUAAUCUUCAACGACAAUUAGACAAUCAAAGACCGCCACCUUAUAGUAUUGAUGAUGAACCCCCUUCCUAUCAGAAUAACGGUUUCAAAUAUUGAUUUAAUAGUGAAAUGAAUUGCCCUUACAUCCCAAUUCUACCUCGUUGCCAGUGGCAACCUUUGAUAAAACUGUCCUGUUUAUUUCCAAUACAGGUAUAAAAGUAUCCGUGUAUCAGAAAUGAACAGUACGCUUUCCAUAAAGAGUACUGUUCAUUUCCGACAAACGAACACUUUUAUACCAGCAGGAUGAAAACAAACGCCUAGAAAGUCAUAAAUUUUAUUACAAAUAAAUUUCAACGGACGAACCAUCCACCGAUGCACACUUUACCAGGAUUGACCCACGUUGUGCAGUGUCCUUUACAUUUAAUAUAAUUGCAGUCCUCUACGCCAGGGACAAGUUGUUUUGACGAUAUGGUUGACUCUAUGUUCAUUGACUUCGUCAAAACAACUUCGUCUUUCAAUACGGAGUGCAGUCUAAUGAAAACACGUGACUGUUUUACGCUAAGGGUAACGCAACAAGACGCACGUGUAAAUACUAUUUUUCACAUUUCGCUUCACAAUACUCCAUAGAAAUGUGAUAUAAGUGACUUAUUAGCACCUUUUACGCUCAGGGUAACGCAGCAAGACGCACGUGUAAAUACUAUUUUUCACAUUUCGCUUCACAAUACUCCAUAGAAAUGUGAUGUAAGUGACUUAUUAGCACCUUUUUUGGUCGGUGGCCGUCUCGGCUCCGCCUCGGCUAGGUCCCUCGACCAAAACUAUCCUCAUCUUCACCGAUACACAUCGGAAAGUGUGCUAAUAAAUACUACAUAACUAGUUUAUGGCCGUGCUGUUAAUUGGCUAUAGAAUACAAACAACGUAAGAUCCUCUUUAAACAACUAAAUAUUGUGAUUGAUAUUUUCUGAACACAGUUGUUCUAAUAUUUAGAAAUGUGAUCGAAGAUAGACAUGAUAUUUAUUUAUUUAUUAAAGAUACAUUAUGUAAGAUUUAGAUAAAGAUCUAGUCAUUCUUGCUAUAAUAGUUCAAAAAUAGCUAAUGCAAAAUGAAUAAUUUGAAAAUAGAUAAUGUAAAAUGAAUAAUUUGAAAAUUUCAGUCAAAUUACUCUAUUGCGAGCGAAGAUAUUAGUCUUUAAAGGUUUGACAAGACGUGUGCAAUAAUUUCAACCACGGUACUGAUUGUUCGAAGCUAAGUCUCGCUCCUCCAUUGAUUUUAGCUUAAAUCAAAAUAUGGAUGAACUGUUCCAAUCUAUUUAAUAUCGGAGAAACCCGAUGCCAUCGAGAGUUGACUAUGGCCUGGAUUAAUUAAUUAGUGUCUAAAUAAUAAUUUAGAAAACAUUUCAGGCCUAAAGAAAGACCUGCAAUAGGCAGAUUUAGCUCUUGCAUAAUGCAUUGAUUGUUAGAAAAAAAAACUACAUUCUUUGAUUACUAGUAUCCAUGUCGUCGAAGAGAGACAUGAUAUUAUUUAUUAAUUGUAAUUUAUUUUAGAGAAAAAAAUUACAUUCUUUGAUUACUAAUAUCCACGUGGUCGAAGAGAUGCAUAUUAUUUAUUAAUUGUAAUUUAUUUUAGAAAAAAAACUACACUCUUUGAAUACUAGUAUCCACGUGGUCGAAGAGAUACAUGAUAUUAUUUAUUAAUUGUCAUUUAUUUUAGAAAAAAACCUACAUUGUUUGAUUACUAGUAUCCACGUGGUCGAAGAGAUACAUGAUAUUAUUUAUUAAUUGUCAUUGAUUUUUAUAUAAAAGAAAUGUACAUUCAUUAAUUACUGUUAUAAUUCGCGUGACCAAGGGAUAGAAUAAAUAUUAUUAAUUAAUUUUAUAAAGAAUACUCAUUGCGUUUAUGACUUAUAACCUAUUGUUUGACCACUAUUCUUAACGUGAUGGAAUAUUAUUUAUAAUAUUUAUGAUGGUAUAUUAUUGUCUAUAUGAAAUAAAGUCAUCUCUCCACCUCUGUA